This 460-nucleotide ribosomal RNA is filed under the name uncultured bacterium. Its description in RNAcentral is "partial 16S ribosomal RNA". It matches the Rfam family "Bacterial small subunit ribosomal RNA", at positions 338 to 795 of the family's 1533-position model. The record is from RNAcentral.
CCUACGGGGGGCAGCAGUGAGGAAUAUUGGUCAAUGGGCGGAAGCCUGAACCAGCCAAGUAGCGUGCAGGAUGACGGCCCUACGGGUUGUAAACUGCUUUUAUACGGGAAUAACGCGCAGUACGUGUACUGCUUUGCAUGUACCUUAUGAAUAAGGACCGGCUAAUUCCGUGCCAGCAGCCGCGGUAAUACGGAGGGUCCGAGCGUUAUCCGGAUUUAUUGGGUUUAAAGGGAGCGUAGGCCGGUUGUUAAGCGUGCUGUGAAAGGUUGGGGCUCAACCGGGACAUUGCAGUUGAAACUGGCGUGCUUGAGUACGGUGGAGGUAGGCGGAAUUCGUGGUGUAGCGGUGAAAUGCUUAGAUAUGACGAAGAACCCCGAUUGCGAAGGCAGCUUGCUGGACCGGAACUGACGCUGAUGCUCGAAGGCGUGGGUAUCAAACAGGAUUAGAUACCCGAGUAGUC